This 930-nucleotide ribosomal RNA is filed under the name Agaricus sp. RNAcentral describes it as "LSU rRNA". It matches the Rfam family "Eukaryotic large subunit ribosomal RNA", at positions 32 to 950 of the family's 3401-position model. Lineage: Eukaryota; Fungi; Basidiomycota; Agaricomycetes; Agaricales; Agaricaceae. The record is from RNAcentral.
AACUAGCAUAUCAAUAAGCGGAGGAAAAGAAACUAACAAGGAUUCCCCUAGUAACUGCGAGUGAAGCGGGAAAAGCUCAAAUUUAAAAUCUGGCAGUCUCUGGCUGUCCGAGUUGUAAUCUAGAGAAGUAAUGCCCGUGCUGGACCGUGUAUAAGUCUCCUGGGAUGGGGCGUCAUAGAGGGUGAGAAUCCCGUCUUUGACACGGACUACCAGUGCAUUGUGGUAUGCUCUCAAAGAGUCGAGUUGUUUGGGAAUGCAGCUCAAAAUGGGUGGUAAAUUCCAUCUAAAGCUAAAUAUUGGCGAGAGACCGAUAGCGAACAAGUACCGUGAGGGAAAGAUGAAAAGAACUUUGGAAAGAGAGUUAAACAGUACGUGAAAUUGCUGAAAGGGAAACGCUUGAAGUCAGUCGCGUUGGCUGGAAAUCAGCCUUGCUUUUGCAUGGUGUACUUUCUGGUUGACGGGUCAGCAUCAAUUUUGACCGCUGGAAAAAGGCCUGGGGAAUGUGGCAGCUUCGGCUGUGUUAUAGCCCCUAGUCACAUACAGUGGUUGGGAUUGAGGAACUCAGCACGCCGCAAGGCCGGGUUUCGACCACGAUCGUGCUUAGGAUGCUGGCAUAAUGGCUUUAAGCGACCCGUCUUGAAACACGGACCAAGGAGUCUAACAUGCCUGCGAGUAUUUGGGUGGAAAACUCAAGUGCGUAAUGAAAGUGAAAGUUGAGAUCCCUGUCGUGGGGAGCAUCGACGCCCGGACCAGAACUUUUGGGACGGAUCCGCGGUGGAGCAUGUAUGUUGGGACCCGAAAGAUGGUGAACUAUGCCUGAAUAGGGUGAAGCCAGAGGAAACUCUGGUGGAGGCUCGUAGCGAUUCUGACGUGCAAAUCGAUCGUCAAAUUUGGGUAUAGGGGCGAAAGACUAAUCGAACCAUCUAGGAU